RNA transcript from Gymnodraco acuticeps, 1091 nucleotides. It is a transcript of the gene named ribosomal RNA processing 7 homolog A, with no coding region annotated. The record is from RefSeq and is a predicted model, not a curated record. The transcript is spliced from 7 exons. Lineage: Eukaryota; Metazoa; Chordata; Actinopteri; Perciformes; Bathydraconidae.
UUAUUUUAAAACACUUUAUUUUUCGCUACGCACUUCGUUUUAAUUCUACUUCCGGUGUGAGAGGUCAUUCCAAAAUGGCGCCGUCCGAGAAGAAACAUGCUAGUAACCAGGCUUGUGUUAUUCCUGGAGGAUUUACAGUGCUGCCUGUACAGUUCAAUUCAGACAGUGUUGCUCAACACAAGCUGUACGUGAAGGAGCACAAAGUCCGGUCAGACCGGAGCUCACACAGACCGAUGGACCGGACGCUGUUUGUGCUCAACAUCCCUCCAUACUGCUCAGAGGAUGUUGCCAAACAGAUGUUCUCUCAGUUCGGUUCUGUUCAGUCCGUGGAGCUGAUGGACAAUCCGGGUCCAUUAGCUCAGGACUCUGGACCCAAGAUAUCCAAGUUCUUCAGACCAGCUGCCAAACAGGGUUUCAAAGUGGGCUACGUUGUGUUUGAAAACUCCUCCAGUAUAGCAGCAGCUAAAUCACACCCUCAUAAUGUUCCUCUGGUGGUCUGCACAGAGAAGUGUCGGGUGAAGACAGGAACACAGAAAUGGAUUCAGCAGUACACAGAAUCUUUCAUUCGUACGGAUAACCUGCAAAAAAUAGUCGACUCCUUCAUGGAGGGCUACGACAAACGGAAAAAGGAGGUGAGAAAUCUGCAGCUCAUAGUGUCUCAAUCCCAUCUAUCCAACAUGUGGACUUUAAGAUGUGUUUUCUGUCUCUUAGGAAGAGGAGAAGCAGAAGGAGGAGGCCAAGCAGCAACAGGAGGAUGAGGAGGGCUGGGUGAAAGUCACCAGAGGAACGAAGGCCCGCCCCCACAGCGAAGCAGCCAAUAAGAAGACUCUGCAGACGGUGAUCAGGAAGAACAAGAGGAAGGAGCUCAUGAACUUCUACACCUGGCAGCACAGAAACACCCAGAAAGAACAUAUUGCUGAACUAAGGAAAAAGUUUGAGGAGGACAAACAGAAAAUAGCUCUCCUGAGGGUGCAGAGAAAGUUCAAACCUUACUGAAUCAACUUCCUUUCAUUCCUCGUUUCACUGCUUUAGUGGGUUUUAGUUACUUUAUAACCUGGAGCAUUUCUUUGUCAAUAAACUAUUAAACUGAC